Molecule: ribosomal RNA, 468 nt
Filed under: uncultured bacterium
Lineage: Bacteria
Description: partial 16S ribosomal RNA
Rfam family: Bacterial small subunit ribosomal RNA
Source: RNAcentral
GACGAACGCUGGCGGCGUGCUUAACACAUGCAAGUCGAACGGAAAGGCCCUGCUUUUGUUGGGUGCUCGAGUGGCGAACGGGUGAGUAACACGUGAGUAACCUGCCCUUGACGUUGGGAUAACUUCAGGAAACUGGGGCUAAUACCGGAUAGGAGCUCCUGCUGCAUGGUGGGGGUUGGAAAGUUUCGGCGGUUGGGGAUGGACUCGCGGCUUAUCAGCUUGUUGGUGGGGUAGUGGCUUACCAAGGCUUUGACGGGUAGCCGGCCUGAGAGGGUGACCGGCGACAUUGGGACUGAGAUACGGCCCAGACUCCUACGGGAGGCAGCAGUGGGGAAUAUUGCACAAUGGGCGGAAGCCUGAUGCAGCAACGCCGCGUGCGGGAUGACGGCCUUCGGGUUGUAAACCGCUUUCGCCUGUGACGAAGCGUGAGUGACGGUAAUGGGUAAAGAAGCACCGGCUAACUACGUG